RNAcentral lists this ribosomal RNA (497 nucleotides) under uncultured bacterium. Its description in RNAcentral is "partial 16S ribosomal RNA". It matches the Rfam family "Bacterial small subunit ribosomal RNA", at positions 28 to 507 of the family's 1533-position model. The record is from RNAcentral.
GAUGAACGCUGGCGGCGUGCCUAAUACAUGCAAGUCGAGUGAACAGACGAGGAGCUUGCUCCUCUGACGUUAGCGGCGGACGGGUGAGUAACACGUGGAUAACCUACCUAUAAGACUGGGAUAACUUCGGGAAACCGGAGCUAAUACCGGAUAAUAUAUUGAACCGCAUGGUUCAAUAGUGAAAGACGGUUUUGCUGUCACUUAUAGAUGGAUCCGCGCCGCAUUAGCUAGUUGGUAAGGUAACGGCUUACCAAGGCAACGAUGCGUAGCCGACCUGAGAGGGUGAUCGGCCACACUGGAACUGAGACACGGUCCAGACUCCUACGGGAGGCAGCAGUAGGGAAUCUUCCGCAAUGGGCGAAAGCUUGACGGAGCAACGCCGCGUGAGUGAUGAAGGUCUUCGGAUAGUAAAACUCUGUUAUUAGGGAAGAACAAAUGUGUAAGUAACUAUGCACGUCUUGACGGUACCUAAUCAGAAAGCCACGGCUAACUACGUG